AUACGUAGGGUGCAAGCGUUAAUCGGAAUUACUGGGCGUAAAGCGUGCGCAGGCGGUUUUGUAAGUCAGUGGUGAAAUCCCCGGGCUCAACCUGGGAACUGCCAUUGUGACUGCAAGGCUGGAGUGCGGCAGAGGGGGGUGGAAUUCCGCGUGUAGCAGUGAAAUGCGUAGAUAUGCGGAGGAACACCGAUGGCGAAGGCAAUCCCCUGGGCCUGCACUGACGCUCAUGCACGAAAGCGUGGGGAGCAAACAGGAUUAGAUACCCUGGUAGUCCACGCCCUAAACGAUGUCAACUGGUUGUUGGGGAUUUAUUUUCUCAGUAACGAAGCUAACGCGUGAAGUUGACCGCCUGGGGAGUACGGCCGCAAGGUUAAAACUCAAAGGAAUUGACGGGG
RNAcentral lists this ribosomal RNA (395 nucleotides) under uncultured bacterium. RNAcentral describes it as "partial 16S ribosomal RNA". It matches the Rfam family "Bacterial small subunit ribosomal RNA", at positions 523 to 918 of the family's 1533-position model. The record is from RNAcentral.